Vitis riparia (riverbank grape) is the source of this 1484-nucleotide long non-coding RNA. RefSeq lists it as uncharacterized. The transcript has 6 exons. The record is from RefSeq and is a predicted model, not a curated record. Lineage: Eukaryota; Viridiplantae; Streptophyta; Magnoliopsida; Vitales; Vitaceae.
AUUGGGCCGGCCCACGCUGAGCACCAUCAUCUGACGGCUGACUGAACUCACGAUGUAUCCAUUGUAGGAUUUGCCUGCGGAAGAAGAAACCCGGAUCUCUGAUUACGUAAAAGCAUUCGAUUAUUCCUUCUCCAAGCGCUUCGUUUCGGUCGAUAGUUCUGAUGGUUUAGGAACCAAAAUCAACGGUGAUGGCAUUGCUUACUACAACAAUCUCAUUAAUGCUUUUCUUGACAAGAGUAUGAAGUUUUUGUAUUUGACUUCCUUCUACUUGCAACAUGUUACAUACUUGGAAACUUUGCUCCUAUAGUGGUGUUGCAUUAGAAGGGGAACAAAAACAAGCCACAAAAAUGUUUACAAUAUUUCCUCUGAUCUUGUGAGGUGGCUGCUAAGGUGAAAUGCCACCUUUGUAGUAUCAGUCUUUCCCAUGUUUGAAAAGCAAUUUCAGAAUGAUCGGAAAUUGGGAUUAGAAGAAUGAUGGCAAUUGAGAUCUCACAUGCUGUUUGAAGGAUCCAUCAUUGUUUGUACAUAAAUGAUCUGUAUAUUUUGGCAAACAUGCAGAAAAUAUUUUGCAAUUUAUGCAGAAACUUGCUUUGCAAGUUUUGGUGAUAGAGUAAAGAACUGGAUUACAGUAAAUAUGCCUUUUCAAACUGCAGUCAAUGGAUAUGGUAAUGGGAUAUUUGCUCCUGGAAAACAUGAACAGUCCUCAACGGCACCAUAAUUUGGUUGCACAUUGCCAGCUCUUGGCCCAUUCAGCAUCUGUUUCCAUAUUCAGAAACAAAUAUGAGAUGUGUUGCAUGAUUGCUAUCAAAUGGAUGGAAUGGCUCAUUGCUGCAGUGUGUGAUGUAGCAGAGUAGCAGUUUAUUUAUUUGUUUUUUUUCUAUUCUCUGAUUGGAUGUCCUAUUUGUGAAAGUGUUGACAUAUUAUGACGUGUAAUUUCAGAACUUACAGACUUGGAAUAUUUUUAUUUUUGAUAUGUUCCAUUUUUGUUCAUUUAUUUUUAACUGUGACAAAAACCUUGGAUUUGUUUUUUGCUUGGCUGGAGGUAAGGCCAUGAUUUGGUUUGUUGCUUACUGGUUGGAUUGAAUUGGGAUCACUUCAUUUAGUUGGUAACUUAAAUCGAAAUAAUAAAUCUUAAAUGCUUCUUACAUUACCUUUGUGUUUUGUAGCAAGGAAAUUGUCCAUGUAGUGUACUUUAUCCACACUCUUCUAGCGGUUAUUGUUCUUUUCAUCAGUUCUUGGAAUCCAACUUGCAUGUUCUCAUAGAUGUAUGGCAUGAUCUCUCUCUCUCUUUCCCUAAAAGCAGGAAUGGAUCAUUACGGCAGCAUGUAAUGUAGCACAACAGUGGUUUAUUGUUAUUAUUUUUAUUAUUUCCCUUUUGGACCUGUUUGUGGAAUUGUUGACAUAUGAUGUGUAAUUCCAAAGCAUGAUAAUUUGGAAAUUUAUUAUAAUGAUUUAUUUAUUUAUUUCAAACCUUUGUUUUAUAA